Molecule: unclassified non-coding RNA, 220 nt
Filed under: Glomeraceae sp.
Lineage: Eukaryota; Fungi; Glomeromycota; Glomeromycetes; Glomerales; Glomeraceae
Description: partial contains 5.8S ribosomal RNA and internal transcribed spacer 2
Rfam family: 5.8S ribosomal RNA (bases 1-71)
Source: RNAcentral
GUGAAUCAUCAAAUUUUUGAACGCACAUUGCACUCCCUGGUAUUCCGGAGAGUAUGCCUGUUUGAGGGUCAGUUUAAAUAAAAAUCGGUGUGGUUGCUGCCUUUCGUGGUGACGCACCGGAUUUGGGAUGUCCUGCCUUGGGUUAAGUGCCCUUAAACUUUGCAUGAAUUUUUCGAACGUAUUUAAUUGAUUGUCUGUACGUUAGCGCUAUCGAAUACUA